RNAcentral lists this ribosomal RNA (513 nucleotides) under uncultured bacterium. RNAcentral describes it as "partial 16S ribosomal RNA". It matches the Rfam family "Bacterial small subunit ribosomal RNA", at positions 28 to 523 of the family's 1533-position model. The record is from RNAcentral.
GACGAACGCUGGCGGCGUGCCUAAUACAUGCAAGUAGAACGCUGAAGACUUUAGCUUGCUAAAGUUGGAAGAGUUGCGAACGGGUGAGUAACGCGUAGGUAACCUGCCUACUAGCGGGGGAUAACUAUUGGAAACGAUAGCUAAUACCGCAUAACAGCUUUUAACUCAUGUUAGGAGCUUGAAAGGUGCAAUUGCAUCACUAGUAGAUGGACCUGCGUUGUAUUAGCUAGUUGGUGAGGUAACGGCUCACCAAGGCGACGAUACAUAGCCGACCGGAGAGGGUGAUCGGACACACUGGGACUGAGACACGGCCCAGACUCCUACGGGAGGCAGCAGUAGGGAAUCUUCGGCAAUGGGGGCAACCCUGACCGAGCAACGCCGCGUGAGUGAAGAAGGUUUUCGGAUCGUAAAGCUCUGUUGUAAGAGAAGAACGUGUGUGAGAGUGGAAAGUUCACACAGUGACGGUAACUUACCAGAAAGGGACGGCUAACUACGUGCCAGCCGCCGCAGUAA